AUAGCGUAUAUUAAAGUUGUUGCAGUUAAAAAGCUCGUAGUUGAACCUUUGGCCUGGCUGGCCGGUCCGCCUCACCGCGUGCACUUGUCCGGCCGGGCCUUUUCUUCUGGAGAACCGCAUGCCCUUCACUGGGUGUGUUGGGGACCAGGACUUUUACUUUGAAAAAAUUAGAGUGUUCAAAGCAGGCCUUUGCUCGAAUACGUUAGCAUGGAAUAAUAGAAUAGGACGUGCGGUCCUAUUUUGUUGGUUUCUAGGAUCGACGUAAUGAUUAAUAGGGAUAGUUGGGGGCAUUAGUAUUCAAUUGUCAGAGGUGAAAUUCUUGGAUUUAUUGAAGACUAACUACUG
This 345-nucleotide ribosomal RNA is filed under the name uncultured eukaryote. Its description in RNAcentral is "SSU rRNA". It matches the Rfam family "Eukaryotic small subunit ribosomal RNA", at positions 594 to 945 of the family's 1831-position model. The record is from RNAcentral.